Molecule: ribosomal RNA, 253 nt
Filed under: uncultured bacterium
Lineage: Bacteria
Description: partial 16S ribosomal RNA
Rfam family: Bacterial small subunit ribosomal RNA
Source: RNAcentral
GACGUAGGGCGCGAGCGUUGUCCGGAUUUAUUGGGCGUAAAGAGCUCGUAGGCGGUUUGUCGCGUCGUUCGUGAAAACUCACAGCUUAACUGUGAGCUUGCGGUCGAUACGGGCAGGCUAGAGUUCGGUAGGGGAGACUGGAAUUCCUGGUGUAGCGGUGAAAUGCGCAGAUAUCAGGAGGAACACCGAUGGCGAAGGCAGGUCUCUGGGCCGAUACUGACGCUGAGGAGCGAAAGCGUGGGGAGCGAACAGG